CGCGGCCUAUCAGCUUGUUGGUGGGGUAACGGCCUACCAAGGCGACGACGGGUAGCGGGUCUGAGAGGACGAUCCGCCGGACUGGGACUGAGAUACGGCCCAGACUCCUACGGGGGGCAGCAAUUAGGAAUCUUGCGCAAUGGGCGAAAGCCUGACGCAGCGACGCCGCGUGGGUGAGGAAGGCCUUCGGGCUGUAAAGCCCUUUUAGGUGGGAAGAAACGAAUGACGGUACCACCUGAAUAAGCUCCGGCUAACUACGUGCCAGCAGCCGCGGUAAUACGUAGGGAGCGAGCGUUGUCCGAAGUUACUGGGCGUAAAGCGCGCGUAGGCGGGCUGUUAAGUGAGAGGUGAAAGGCUGGGGCUCAACCCCAUGCAGUGCCUCUCAUACUGGCGGUCUUGAGUGCGGCAGGGAGAAGUGGAAUGGCUGGUGUAGCGGUGAAAUGCGUAGAUAUCAGUCGGAACACCGGUGGCGAAGGCGGCUUCUUGGGCCUGGACUGACGCUGAGGCGCGAAAGCUGGGGGAGCGAACGGGAUUAGAUACCCCGGUAGUCCCAGCCGUAAACGAUGGAUACUAGGUGUCGGGGGUAUCGACCCCUCCGGUGCCGCAGCUAACGCAUUAAGUACCCCGCCUGGGGAGUACGG
Molecule: ribosomal RNA, 641 nt
Filed under: uncultured Actinomycetes bacterium
Lineage: Bacteria; Bacillati; Actinomycetota; Actinomycetes
Description: bacterial SSU rRNA
Rfam family: Bacterial small subunit ribosomal RNA
Source: RNAcentral